GAUAUUUAAGGUCGGAAAGGCUCCCGACACUCCUGAAUAGGAACCUGAGAUGAUGGAUACGCCGCCCAUCUAAAUAUU
The submitters of this non-coding RNA (78 nucleotides) gave its source as unclassified sequences. The record is from Rfam.